This 1449-nucleotide ribosomal RNA is filed under the name Clostridiaceae bacterium. Its description in RNAcentral is "partial 23S ribosomal RNA". It matches the Rfam family "Bacterial large subunit ribosomal RNA", at positions 165 to 1636 of the family's 2925-position model. Lineage: Bacteria; Bacillati; Bacillota; Clostridia; Eubacteriales; Clostridiaceae. The record is from RNAcentral.
CAUAGCGUUACGUCGGGAACCGCCUGAACUGAAACAUCUAAGUAGGGCGAGGAAAAGAAAGAAACAUCGAUUCCGUAAGUAGCGGCGAGCGAAAGCGGAAGAGCCCAAACCGGUAUGCGUGCAUACCGGGGUUAUGGACUGCAAAAGUGAACCGAAUUGUUAGCCAAACUGUCUGGGAAGUCAGGCCAGAGAGGGUGAAAGCCCCGUAGGCGAAAACAAUAGGAAGCGGCAGUAUCCAGAGUACCACGAGACACGUGGAACCUUGUGGGAAGUCGGAGGGACCACCCUCCAAGGCUAAAUACUCCUUAGUGACCGAUAGCGCAUAGUACUGUGAAGGAAAGGUGAAAAGAACCCCGGGAGGGGAGUGAAAAAGAACCUGAAACCCUGUGUUUACAAACUGUGGAAGCACGUUAAAGUGCAACCGCGUACUUUUUGUAGAACGGUCCGGCGAGUUGCCGGUACGGGCAAGGUUAAGGACGAAACGUCCGGAGCCGAAGGGAAACCGAGUCUUAAUAGGGCCGGAGUCCGUACAGGCAGACCCGAAACCGGGUGAUCUAUCCAUGUCCAGGUUGAAGCCGCCGUAAAAGGCAGUGGAGGACCGGACGCACAUCCGUUGAAAAGGGUGGCGAUGAGGUGUGGAUAGGGGAGAAAUUCCAAUCGAACCCGGAGAUAGCUGGUUCUCCUCGAAAUAGCUUUAGGGCUAGCCUCAUAUGAGUCUACCGGAGGUAGAGCACUGAAUUUCCGCGGGGGCGUCAAAGCUUACCAAAGAAUAUCAAACUCCGAAUGCCGGAUAGAUGCUGUAUGGGAGUCAGGCUGCACGAGAUAAGUUGGGCAGCCAAAAGGGAAACAGCCCAGACCACCAGCUAAGGUCCCAAAGUGCGUGUUAAGUGGAAAAGGAUGUGGGAUUUCAAAGACAACUAGGAUGUUGGCUCAGAAGCAGCCACACAUUCAAAGAGUGCGUAAUAGCUCACUAGUCGAGAGGUCCUGCGCCGAAAAUGUCCGGGGCUAAAACACGCCACCGAAGCUGUGGAUUCAUGGAGACAUGAGUGGUAGAGGAGCAUUGCCAGUCUAGCGAAGCGGUACUGUAAGGAGCCGUGGAGGACUGGGAAGAGAGAAUGCCGGAAUGAGUAGCGAGAUGGAGGUGGGAAUCCUCCAGGCCGAAUAUCUAAGGAUUCCAGGGUAAAGCUGAUCUGCCCUGGGUAAGUCGGGACCUAAGGCGAGGUCGAAAGACGUAGUCGAUGGACAACAGGUUGAAAUUCCUGUACCAUGUAUGGUCAGAAAUGUGGGGACACAGAAGGAUACCCGGACCCGGGAAUGAGAAGACCGGGGCAAGCGAGGUAGGGGUAUGAAAGGAAAAACCAUCAUACAACCCGAAGACGUGAUGCGGACCGAACAAAAGUAGGGAAGCCGGAGAAUCAGACUGUCAAGAAAAGCCGCUAUUGCAUCAUA